AAAUGCGAUAAGUAAUGUGAAUUGCAGAAUUCAGUGAAUCAUCGAAUCUUUGAACGCACCUUGCGCUCCUUGGUAUUCCUUGGAGCAUGCCUGUUUGAGUAUCAUGAAAUCUUCAAAGUAAAUCUUUUGUUAACUCAAUUGGUUUCUACUUUGGUAUUGGAGGUCUUUGCAGCUUCACACCUGCUCCUCUUUGUUCAUUAGCUGGAUCUCAGUGUUAUGCUUGGUUCCACUCGGCGUGAUAAGUUAUCUAUCGCUGAGGACACUGUAAAAGGUGGCCAAGGUAAAUGCAGAUGAACCGCUUCUAAUAGUCCAUUGAUUUGGACAAUACUUUUAUGAUCUGAUCUCAAAUCAGGUAGGACUACCCGCUGAACUUAAGC
This 377-nucleotide unclassified non-coding RNA is filed under the name plant metagenome. RNAcentral describes it as "partial contains 5.8S ribosomal RNA, internal transcribed spacer 2, and large subunit ribosomal RNA". The stretch from base 1 to 104 matches the Rfam family "5.8S ribosomal RNA", at positions 51 to 154 of the family's 154-position model. The record is from RNAcentral.